UACGUAGGUGGCAAGCGUUGUCCGGAAUUAUUGGGCGUAAAGCGCGCGCAGGCGGUCCUUUAAGUCUGAUGUGAAAGCCCACGGCUCAACCGUGGAGGGUCAUUGGAAACUGGGGGACUUGAGUGCAGGAGAGGAAUGCGGAAUUCCAGGUGUAGCGGUGAAAUGCGUAGAUAUCUGGAGGAACACCGGUGGCGAAGGCGGCAUUCUGGACUGCAACUGACACUGAAAGACGAAAGCCAGGGGAGCAAACGGG
RNAcentral lists this ribosomal RNA (253 nucleotides) under uncultured bacterium. RNAcentral's name for it is "partial 16S ribosomal RNA". It matches the Rfam family "Bacterial small subunit ribosomal RNA", at positions 524 to 776 of the family's 1533-position model. The record is from RNAcentral.